This 236-nucleotide long non-coding RNA is filed under the name Numida meleagris (helmeted guineafowl). RNAcentral describes it as "lncRNA (ENSNMEG00000002425.1)". Lineage: Eukaryota; Metazoa; Chordata; Aves; Galliformes; Numididae. The record is from RNAcentral.
UGUGUUGUCCUAGGUUUUCUUCAGGCACUUGAGCUGCUCUCCCACACAAUGGAAGGGUCCAUGUUUGGUCUUUCAGAUCAUAGAAUCAUUGAACCAUAGGUUCACCAAGCCUUUAGAGAAGAUAAUGAAAAACUGGAUAGAGUAUGGAAGAGAGACACAAAACAGCUCUGAGAACUAACAAAUCACUACAGCAUGAACAUAAUAGAUUCUUACUCUUUUGCUGUUUCAUGGGCUAA